AACGAACGCUGGCGGCAUGCCUAACACAUGCAAGUCGAACGAGACCUUCGGGUCUUUUGUCGCACGGUUUCGUAACGCGUGGGAACCUUCCCUUAUGGUCGGAAUAACUCUCCGAAAGGGGUGCUAAUACCGGAUAAUAUCUUCUGACCAAAGAUAUAUUGAAUUUGGAUGGGCGCGCGUGGGAUUAGCUAGUUGGUAGGGUAAAAGCUUACCAAGGCGUCGAUCCAUAACUGGUUUGUGAGGCUGGUCAGCCACACUGGGAGUGAGACACGGCCCAGACUCUUACGGGAGGGAGCAGUGGGGAAUAGUGGAACACGGGGGAAGGGAUGAAGGAGCUAUGACGGGUGAGUGAUGAAGGCCGUAGAGUAGUAAUGCUCUUUUAACCGGGCUGAUAAUGACGGUACCGGGAGAAUAAGCCCCGGCUAACUCCGUG
RNAcentral lists this ribosomal RNA (433 nucleotides) under uncultured bacterium. RNAcentral's name for it is "partial 16S ribosomal RNA". It matches the Rfam family "Bacterial small subunit ribosomal RNA", at positions 29 to 507 of the family's 1533-position model. The record is from RNAcentral.